AAGCCGCAAGGUGAGUAAAGUGGCGUACGGGUGAGUAACACGUGGAUCAUCUGCCUUCUAGUGGGGAAUAACGCUGGGAAACCGGCGCUAAUACCGCAUAAGUCCGGGAGGAGAAAGCAGCAAUGCGCUGGAAGAGGAGUCCGCGGCCGAUUAGCUAGUUGGCAGGGUAAAAGCCUACCAAGGCAAAGAUCGGUAGCCGGCCUGAGAGGGCACACGGCCACACUGGCACUGGAACACGGGCCAGACUCCUACGGGAGGCAGCAGUGGGGAAUAUUGCACAAUGGGGGAAACCCUGAUGCAGCGACGCCGCGUGAGCGAUGAAGCCCUUUGGGGUGUAAAGCUCUUUCGGCAGGGAAGAUAGUGACGGUACCUGCAGAAGCAGCUGCGGCCAACUACGUGCCAGCAGCCGCGGUAAUACGUAGGCAGCAAGCGUUGUUCGGAAUUACUGGGCGUAAAGGGUGUGUAGGCGGUUGUUUAAGUUUGGUGUGAAAUCUCCCGGCUCAACUGGGAGGGUGCGCCGAAUACUGAGUGACUAGAGUGCGGGAGAGGAAAGUGGAAUUCCUGGUGUAGCGGUGAAAUGCGUAGAUAUCAGGAGGAACACCGGUGGUGUAGACGGCUUUCUGGACCGUAACUGACGCUGAAACACGAAAGCGUGGGUAGCAAACAGGAUUAGAUACCCUGGUAGUCCACGCCCUAAACGAUGCAUAUUUGGUGUGGGUCAUUCAGUUGAUCCGUGCCGGAGCUAACGCGUUAAAUAUGCCGCCUGGGGAGUACAGU
Molecule: ribosomal RNA, 777 nt
Filed under: uncultured bacterium
Lineage: Bacteria
Description: bacterial SSU rRNA
Rfam family: Bacterial small subunit ribosomal RNA
Source: RNAcentral